Long non-coding RNA from Stomoxys calcitrans (stable fly), 691 nucleotides. RefSeq lists it as uncharacterized. Lineage: Eukaryota; Metazoa; Arthropoda; Insecta; Diptera; Muscidae. The record is from RefSeq and is a predicted model, not a curated record. The transcript has 2 exons.
GACAACUUUUCAAUUUAAAAGAGCGACGGAGAAAGAGAGAUAAAGAGGGAGCGCAAGUGCGAGAGACAACGAAAGAGAGACUUUAUGACUCUCAUCGUACGACCUUGUGUCCGCGCCUUGUAAAAAAUGCUUAAGGUUAACGAUCUACAGCGGCAAAUGAGAAAUGUAUGCGAAAACUGCAGAUCUAUACCAUAUACACGCGCCGCUGCCCAAGCGUUGUCGUCUAUGCCACAACUUUCAAAGCGAACGAGAACAAAGGCAUAUUGGUCACUGUUAUUCGCGUUGUCGUUGUUGUUGUUAAUAACGAUGACUCGAUGUUUGUGCGGUUUUUGUUUGUUUUUUUUUUAUUUAAUUUUCGAGUUUAUAAUAGUUACUCACCGACUGAGCGAUCUUUAUGUAUGAAACGGCGACAAAUAUGGAGAUUUACAUUCUGGUUGCCAACGUCUCUGCUCCACCAAUUUCCGGAAAUUCCAGGAAUAUUAUUAUGGCGACCGAAUCAGUGCCAAGCCAACUGAAGGUUUGGGAGUUGUGGCAAAUGAAGAGACAUACUAAUAAAUAACUAACGAAAAUAAAUGUUGUCGAGUUGCUGCUCUCUCACUCUCUUCGAAUGGCUCAUUAGUUUUUUUCUUUGCACUUUAUGGAUGACAACACGAUCGAUAUUGACUGAUACUCACACCAUACGCACACAAAC